This is a non-coding RNA of Xyrichtys novacula (pearly razorfish), 4945 nucleotides long. Lineage: Eukaryota; Metazoa; Chordata; Actinopteri; Labriformes; Labridae. The record is from the annotation of a GenBank genome assembly.
CUUUGAAACAGCUUGACUUCCGUCUUUUAUAGGUUAUCUACAGUGAGCACACAGUGGGUUCACAUGUGCUGUAUGAUUGAUAUUGUAAUAUGAAUAAUAGUAUCACCAGGGAAAUGCCAUGUUUGUUAAUAAACAGGUGUGAAGUCGUGCGUAUGCAGUUGUGUACUUUGGUCUCAAACUAACCUCCUAAAGACUUUACCACUGAAAACCACUGACCCAUAAUCUGCUUUGAUCCAUUUGGGGACACGGCUUUUGGCCCUGAUUGGACAAGCCGUCUCCAAUUAACUGGUGUUUAGUGAGAGAGUGUGCUAAAUCCCCCUCACAGUCAGGCUCCUCUUCUGACCCUGUGACCUGCGGCUGCCUGGUAAAAGGUGACUUCAACGUCUAAUAGCCUGAAAAACAUUCUGGAGACAGAGUCCAGCUGAUUAAGUAAGUGCUGCUCCUCAGCUUAUUUUCCUCACUGUGUGAAAGCUCUGCGGACAAUCAUUAAAAACACUCUCUAACACUUGGUGUCCCAAAAUAAGUGAGACCACAGUUAUUAUUGUACCACUCCAUCUCUGCAUUUGUUUAACCACCUGUAGGGAACUGAGAAUGAGCUUACUUGGACCUGCAUUUUGACCCGUAAAUAGCUGAUGUUUUAAAAAAUUUGUGCAUUUGCACUCAAAUUUUUCUUGAUUAUUACUUUUCGAUCCAGUUUAGCACCUGGACCUGAACAGAUAUCCAAAUCUGGGUCAAAGGUCUCUUGGUUAAUUAGGGGCAAUUAGGAGCACCUGUGAUUUUCUUUUGUUGAAAGCGAUCAGUUCAGGCUGGGAGGCUAUAAAAGGAGGCUGAGCUCUCCUGUUCGGGAUUUUUGCUCCUCUGAAUCAACACUUCCAAGAGAUUUCUGUGUUUGUUGUAUUUCCUCCCAGAUCUUUGACUUCCCUUUUUUUAUAUUGUUGUUUUGGGUCCAGUCUUAUGGGCCCAUUUUGCUUUCAGUUCAACCCCUCCAUAUCAGCUCCUCCCUGGAUGCGUUAGUUACUCCUGUUGCAUUCCUACAUCUCUUGAGAGCAAUGAUUUCCAAAAGGACUGUCAAGUUUCCAUUCAUCAGACCGCAGGAUUUUCCAUCUCAUUUAGUCCAUCUUAAAUAAGCUUUGGCUCCAAAGUCGUUUACUUUUCUGAGUCAUGUCUAAAGAUUUCAUGAAUGCAUCAACAAGUUGUGGUUUUGAGCCCAUGCAGUGAUUCCCACUGCAGAGUCAUUUAUGUUUUCAAAGCCGUACACCCUGAGGACCUGUAGAUUUUCAAUCUUGUGCACAUUGUACAAAGAUUUCUUCAGCUACUUUGAACCGUUCAGUAAUUUUUAAGUACUUUAGGUGGUGAAAUCCCCAAACUCUUUGUAAGAGAACGUGUAGACGAAAGUUCAGCAGUUUCGGAAUGAUGUUUUUCAGCAUAAAAAUACUUCUCUUCAUGUUUUGAAGGACUCAAACCCCCCUGAAAUACACUUUAUGCCGAGACCUUUCACUUGUGUCCUAAAUUAACAGUAUGACAAUGGUAACUUGCAAAAUUGCUUUAGUGUUUUGUUUUGCCACAUAUGAAGACAAACUUAGCAAAGAGUUAAGAGGUAACCGCAAGAUGUGAACCAUGAAGUUCCUCCCACAAGAGCUAUAUAAGGAAAAUUUUAUUCACUGCUUUGUUUGCUCAGUUAGAUAACAUUUUAAUUCUGCUCUUUCCAUGGUGCUUCCUACCUCAUCUCCCUGAGCAGAUUUGUUAACUCCACAUGGUAAUUACACAGCUCAUGGUCUCAUGACGGUCUCUGCCAUCAUAUCUGACACUUCUGCCCUCCCAGGUGCUGACACAGAGCAGCGCCCUCACACCGCGAGGUGCUGACACCGACAUAUGCUCUUUUGUGAAAAAGGAUUCCUUCGUGGUCUCCUCCUUCGUCCCUGCUGCAGGUGGAUCAGACAUCACAGUGCUUUUCUAAUCGAACUUAAUCUCUCUGCCUCUCAGCAGCUUGACCUUGACUUUCACAUGCACCGUAGGCGCUUGUAGCAUGCAGUGGGUAUUAUAGAUUUGUCAUUUAUUUGCUCAUUAAUCAUCUCCACACCCCAGCACAGUUAGGAUAUCCAUGAGAAGCUUUCGUGGCAUACAUACUCAUGCAGACAAGCCUGGAUAAACAGUCUCCUAUGAUCUAUCUCCACCAUCGCCAUCUCUAUGCAGGUACACAACCAUAAGCAUGUUUACUGACGCCUCCAUAAACAAAGGCCCAAAAUAAAUAGGCCAUGCAUUAUUUCAGCCAGAUACACGGCUUACACAUGUAAUCCGACUGUCAUGUUCUUGUGCACGCUCUCCAUCAACAUGAAACGAUAAAUAGGGGAUGGUUGCAUAGAGGUGAUCAUGUAAACAAAAGGAGAGGAUGCUUAUUAAGAGACAACUGGUGGAGAGGUCUAAUGUAAGAGUCAGGAGGGAGGUUUUAAGCUAAAUAAGGAGAUGAGACAGGGUAUGGAUAUAGAUUUCUUCACUCUGCAGCCUGUCUUGGUUACCACCUCCAGUUUAAGAAGUUUGGUUUACUGCAUCUUUGUUAGUUAUUUGUACUUCUCUUUUUCAAUCCUACGAAAGUAUGCAAAGGAACACAAUAUUGAAUUAUUAUUUAAUUAUUGUUAUUGAAUUACCCUCCGGGAAUCAAUUAAGUUCUCCUUCUUCUCUUUAUUCAUCUCCAGCAUAGAUGCAAUCAGACUUAAAAGAACCUGCAUGCAUGCUGGUUUUAAUGUACCUUACAAGACUUAUGAUGCACCACCACCAUGCAGCCCAGAUUGGUACAGAAAACCUUGAUCUUGCUUGUGUUUUCACUGCAGACUGUUUCCCAUCCUGGCUCUUGAAUAUGUGACUGCUUCAGAAUGGCACAAAUUUUGGCAUUCAUGUCAGCUGAUUGGACUAUUCAAACUAACAACAUGAGUAACAUCCAAUUAGUGUAGAUCUUGACUUAAGACAGACAAUAAUUUACCCACGGGCUAUUGGUUUCAUUCAAUCUGUAUUCAGCUAUUUAUGUCACAAACAUAAAAAAAGAGACUCCCUGUGCUUCUAUUAUUAAGUUAUUUCUAAGACGUUUAAUGUUUAUCAUUUUCUAUCACAGCUCUUAUCUGCAUCUAACUCUAUGCCUCUACUGCUGUGCAUACAUGGAGCAUCCAUUAAUAUGCCAUACAGCUCCUAAAACUAUGUAUAUUUCACAAAGCAUGAAUAAAAAAAAUAGUGCUCCUCUGAAAUACUUUUCAAAAUAAAACCCCAGUCUUUGUUUUUCUGUGGAGAGACUCCUAUUGUUUUUUGUGCAAUGGUUAUAUUCUGGAGUUGUUUCUUUGUCAUAAUUUGGUGAAAGAAGUAACAUUUACAAUGUCUCAUCUUUUGCAAUCUCCUUCUCCACUCGCAUCGAUCUCUGUGCUCCUUUGUGUGGAUAUGCACUGUUUAUACCCCACCACCACCACUUUUGCAGAACUUUACAAAAUAAAGUUCUGAACUGUUCUUUUAUUUUUUUUUUAUCUAAGGAGAGAUUUUUUUUUUCUUUCAUAUGGAGAUUUUACUCUGAAGUUGUUUCCGGGACACUUAUUUGGUGAAAACAGGACAUUGACAUUGUGACCACCUUUUCUAUUUGCAUCCAACAAUAGACUGUAUAUAGAAUGGACGCCGUCUGCGUGUCAUUGCACCUCAUAUAGAGAAGCCAUCAUGUUAUAUUGUAGUAGCUUUUGCAUAUGGACCGAGGUGAGUCUGGUGAUCAUUUUCUGCUUUUUCAAUGUUAGCCACCAUUUUUCAUUAUAAACUGAGCAUCAGGAUCCAGUGAAGGUGAACUAAAAGCUUAUUAGUGUAGCUGUUCAAGGGCUCAGUAAGGGGGCUGGUGUUUUGUGCCUGGCUAAUUGCUUACAAUAAAGUCCAACAUUUUCUUAUUGAUAAAAAAAAAGUUCUGGGAGUUUGUGUUGAUCAAGAAAGACCCAGACGAAAGAAAGUCCCAGAAGUUUCUACCAAAAAAAAAAAAAAGAUGAACAACAAAGAGAGGCGACACAGGCAAGACUUCCCGUCUUGCUUGUUUGUCGUGUCUAAUUCUUUCCUGUCUAACUGGAGGCGAGGUGUUUAAUUCUGUAAGCGUGGAAAUUCUCUUUUGAAUCCAUUUCAAGCUGAGAUAAGAGGUCAGGAGAAGUUGUUCAGUCUCUUAUCUCCCCCACAAACUUUGAAGUAUCAGGGCUUACAUCAUCACCACACGGCGCAUUUACAUCAAACUUUGUAAAUUUUUCGGGUUCAGUGGUCUGCAGGAUGAAGAGAAUCUGUAGGAGUGAAGAAGUUGCGGUGAAGGGAGAGUAGGGGAUGUGUGACAGUGACCUCCCUGUGGCUCUGACCAUCCUUUUCCACCUCAUUUAUCUCUCCACAGCCUGACUGAGGAUUUAUCCACCUGAUUACCCAGCGGGUAUCCCACCCAUCUAUCCCCUCCUCGCCCUGUUACGCUCAGCAGGGACAUCUCAGGGUUUCAGUCCGUGACACAGAGCUCAGUGCAGAAUUAGCUGCUUCUAAAAUCAGGAACUCUGGAGUUAAAAACUGGUCAAGGUUUUACUUUUUUUAAGCAGAGCUCUGUGUUUACAACUCGGCAUACAAAAAAAUGCACGUUAUUGCAGUCUUUGUUGAUUGUAAGUGUUUUCUAAUCAAUUUAGACCUUUUGACAAAAUCUACUCUGGCUAAAGUGAAGACAUCCAUCUGCUUCUUGUCCACAGUUGAAAGAAGGCUGGACCCAAUCAGCUGCCACUGGCUGAGAGGUGCAGUACACACUGCAUAGAUCAGCGGUCUAUCACAGGGCUGAAUCAGAGAGAUAAACAACCAGAAGCCCUCAAACUCACACCAAUGAGCAAUCAGAAGCCACUGAUCGACCUCACAAGGAUGUCUUUAGGCAGUGUGAGAGAGCCGUAGUAUGCAGAGACAACCCAUCGUGAACGUG